UUAAUAAGCGGAGGAAAAGAAACUAACAAGGAUUCCCUCAGUAACGGCGAGUGAAGCGGGAAGAGCUCAAAUUUGAAAUCUCCGAUGCCUGCAUCGGCGAGUUGUAGUUGCGAGAAGCACUUUCUAGGCGGAUCGGCGGUGCCUAAGUUGCUUGGAACAGCACGUCGCAGAGGGUGACAACCCCGUCUGUGGCGCCGCCGGCCGCUGACGAUGCGCUUUCGAAGAGUCGGGUUGUUUGGGAAUGCAGCCCAAAAUGGGUGGUAAACUCCAUCUAAAGCUAAAUACUGGCGUGAGACCGAUAGCGA
RNAcentral lists this ribosomal RNA (305 nucleotides) under Hydnophora exesa. RNAcentral describes it as "eukaryotic LSU rRNA". It matches the Rfam family "Eukaryotic large subunit ribosomal RNA", at positions 43 to 343 of the family's 3401-position model. Lineage: Eukaryota; Metazoa; Cnidaria; Anthozoa; Scleractinia; Merulinidae. The record is from RNAcentral.